RNAcentral lists this ribosomal RNA (748 nucleotides) under uncultured gamma proteobacterium TIHP302-27. RNAcentral's name for it is "bacterial SSU rRNA". It matches the Rfam family "Bacterial small subunit ribosomal RNA", at positions 50 to 787 of the family's 1533-position model. Lineage: Bacteria; Pseudomonadati; Pseudomonadota; Gammaproteobacteria. The record is from RNAcentral.
AACACAUGCAAGUCGAGCGGUAGCACAGGGGAGCUUGCUCCCUGGGUGACGAGCGGCGGACGGGUGAGUAAUGUCUGGGAAACUGCCUGAUGGAGGGGGAUAACUACUGGAAACGGUAGCUAAUACCGCAUAACGUCGCAAGACCAAAGAGGGGGACCUUCGGGCCUCUUGCCAUCAGAUGUGCCCAGAUGGGAUUAGCUAGUAGGUGGGGUAAUGGCUCACCUAGGCGACGAUCCCUAGCUGGUCUGAGAGGAUGACCAGCCACACUGGAACUGAGACACGGUCCAGACUCCUACGGGAGGCAGCAGUGGGGAAUAUUGCACAAUGGGCGCAAGCCUGAUGCAGCCAUGCCGCGUGUGUUAAGAAGGCCUUCGGGUUGUAAAGCACUUUCAGCGAGGAGGAAGGUGGUGAGCUUAAUACGCUCAUCAAUUGACGUUACUCGCAGAAGAAGCACCGGCUAACUCCGUGCCAGCAGCCGCGGUAAUACGGAGGGUGCAAGCGUUAAUCGGAAUUACUGGGCGUAAAGCGCACGCAGGCGGUUUGUUAAGUCAGAUGUGAAAUCCCCGGGCUCAACCUGGGAACUGCAUUUGAAACUGGCAAGCUAGAGUCUCGUAGAGGGGGGUAGAAUUCCAGGUGUAGCGGUGAAAUGCGUAGAGAUCUGGAGGAAUACCGGUGGCGAAGGCGGCCCCCUGGACGAAGACUGACGCUCAGGUGCGAAAGCGUGGGGAGCAAACAGGGUUAGAUACCC